UCUACCUACCAUGAUUAUCCACAAAUUUGAACACAACCAAAGGCAGGCUACGUACUACACAACAACUAGAUCAGCUAGAUCAUCAUAAUACACCGCUAGAGCUUUACUAGGUUUGAAAAGAUUAAGAUCGACUGAAAUUGCCACUUUUUCCCUUGUUGCGGCUGCAAGAUCUGCCAACUCGGCUCCAAGAUCUGAAUCACACAAAGAGAAUGCAGCGAAGAAGAUGAGAAAGAAUAGCAAUCAAUGCUUUUGUUCAAGUGCUUAACUAUUGAUUUUGUUCUUACCUAGUGCCUCCCUCAUGUAUCGAGCCUUUUGUCCUAGCUGGAAUAUAUAUGGAUAUCUUUUUCUCUACAUACAGAUGCCAAAAUUCCAUGCUAUGUACUUCCUUGAUCCAUAUCGAUGGCUCUGCAAUCAAAAGAAGAAACCACAAAUCCUAAUUACAAAGACAUGAUUAGUGACCGAGAUUUGUAGAUCUGGUACCAUUUUUGGUAGGUGAUGAUGAUGAAGAGAAACCGCGAGAUUGGCGAUUUCCAAUCGAUCUCCCUCCACGGUAACACUGUACAAUUCUUCUAUCAACAGAUCACUCGUGAAAAAAACGAGAAUCAGAUAUUCGGCGUACGUACCUUGGCAACGAAGGGUCUCAGAUUCUGCAUGAUCCAAGAAUUAAUUAGGUGGUUUGUUAGUG
This 685-nucleotide long non-coding RNA is filed under the name Arabidopsis thaliana (thale cress). RNAcentral describes it as "long non-coding RNA (ATHA_LNC000064)". Lineage: Eukaryota; Viridiplantae; Streptophyta; Magnoliopsida; Brassicales; Brassicaceae. The record is from RNAcentral.